UUGUCAUAGCUAACUGGAACUCCCGGAUGUAUCAACGAAUCUCCUGUUGAUGAUCUUGAAUACCUGUGUCUGCAUCAUAAGAAGAUGCAGGCCAAAUGGCUCAGUACGUGGAAUGUACGAGUAUGUAAGCUGGAAAGCUAAACAACAUAGGCUAGAAGAAAAACUGGAAUAAACUGAAUAACUUACCUCUUUUCAAACUUUCUCAACUCAAGGAAUACUCAAAACUACUCAAACUUACUCAACUCAGAAGAUAGAUAUUGGACUCAGAGACAGAUACUCAACUCAAAGAUAGAUACUCAACUCAGAGAUACUUAACUCAAGGAUACUCAACUCUUGAAUAACUGAACUCAAUAUAUAAAGCAAUAAGACACAUGCAAUAUAUAUAUAUAUAUAUAUAUAUAACUGGUAAAAUAGUAUCAACAACUUAGUUUGUUAAGGAUAAAACGAUAAUAAACUCAACUUUACUUAUAUAAAAGUAAUAUAACUUUUGUGGGAGGUUCUUUACCGACAACCACCACUAUGAGCCUUAGUGAUGAUACAACGUUUUACCUCACGUUGCCCAAGGACCAUCCUAUACCUUGCCAUCGAUAUAGGACCUUACUUUUGCUUAGUGGAUCCACUAGCUUAACUUUCGUGAUCAUCUAAAAAGUAUGACCCGAGAAAUCCCAUGUUUGGCUACAUGGUUCUUAUGGAGAGUUGAGUUAAUAUGAACUCGUGUCCCCAAUUCGGUGCUUUGAAACGCUUAACUUGACUUGAAACUCUUAACUUAACUUGACUUGGAACUCGAUACUUUUGACUUGACUUGAAACCCUUAACUUAACUUGAAACGCUUAACUUGACUUGAAACUCUUAACUUAACUUGACUUGGAACUCGAUACUUUUGACUUGACUUGAAACCCUUAACUUAACUUGAAACGCUUAACUUGACUUGAAACUCUUAACUUAACUUGACUUGGAACUCGAUACUUUUGACUUGACUUGAAACCCUUAACUUAACUUGAAACGCUUAACUUGACUUGAAACUCUUAACUUAACUUGACUUGGAACUCGAUACUUUUGACUUGACUUGUUACUCUUGACUUAACUUGAAACGCUUAACUUGACUUGAAACGCUUAACUUGACUUGAAACUCUUAACUUAACUUGACUUGGAACUCGAUACUUUUGACUUGACUUGAAACCCUUAACUUAACUUGAAACGCUUAACUUGACUUGAAACUCUUAACUUAACUUGACUUGGAACUCGAUACUUUUGACUUGACUUGAAACCCUUAACUUAACUUGAAACGCUUAACUUGACUUGAAACUCUUAACUUAACUUGACUUGGAACUCGAUACUUUUGACUUGACUUGAAACCCUUAACUUAACUUGAAACGCUUAACUUGACUUGAAACUCUUAACUUAACUUGACUUGGAACUCGAUACUUUUGACUUGACUUGAAACCCUUAACUUAACUUGAAACGCUUAACUUGACUUGAAACUCUUAACUUAACUUGACUUGGAACUCGAUACUUUUGACUUGACUUGAAACCCUUAACUUAACUUGAAACGCUUAACUUGACUUGAAACUCUUAACUUAACUUGACUUGGAACUCGAUACUUUUGACUUGACUUGAAACCCUUAACUUAACUUGAAACGCUUAACUUGACUUGAAACUCUUAACUUAACUUGACUUGGAACUCGAUACUUUUGACUUGACUUGAAACCCUUAACUUAACUUGAAACGCUUAACUUGACUUGAAACUCUUAACUUAACUUGACUUGGAACUCGAUACUUUUGACUUGACUUGAAACCCUUAACUUAACUUGAAACGCUUAACUUGACUUGAAACUCUUAACUUAACUUGACUUGGAACUCGAUACUUUUGACUUGACUUGAAACCCUUAACUUAACUUGAAACGCUUAACUUGACUUGAAACUCUUAACUUAACUUGACUUGCCUUACAUACCUGAUUAGGGAUCACCCCCGAUGAAAAUCCACGACGAUCCUUAGCUUCUUCUUCUCUUUCUCCUCUUCUUUCUCUCUUCACUCUCAAAACCCUCACUCUCACUCUUUUAAAAAUAAAAACUGAUCAAAAAUCAGCCUAACACCUUAAUAUAACCAAAAGAAUUGGCUAGGGAAAAGACCAAAAUACC
RNAcentral lists this long non-coding RNA (2139 nucleotides) under Solanum tuberosum (potato). RNAcentral's name for it is "long non-coding RNA (STUB_LNC006050)". Lineage: Eukaryota; Viridiplantae; Streptophyta; Magnoliopsida; Solanales; Solanaceae. The record is from RNAcentral.